Molecule: small nucleolar RNA, 71 nt
Organism: Cyclopterus lumpus (lumpfish)
Lineage: Eukaryota; Metazoa; Chordata; Actinopteri; Perciformes; Cyclopteridae
Source: Ensembl
UGGUGUCAUGAUGAUUGGCUAUAUGUUCAACUGCUCUGAAGUGUGAUUGAUAGCUGCCUCUCUGAACCACA